This is a long non-coding RNA of Zea mays, 654 nucleotides long. RefSeq lists it as uncharacterized. The transcript is spliced from 2 exons. NCBI's taxonomy places the organism in Eukaryota, Viridiplantae, Streptophyta, Magnoliopsida, Poales, Poaceae. The record is from RefSeq and is a predicted model, not a curated record.
GGGCAGCGACAAGAAAAGCCAACAACCCACAUAAAAAGAUGCCGCCAACCACUUCCCAGCCCCCGUCUACCUCCACGAAAUGCAGGUGGAAUUCCAAACCAGCGAGAAAGGAGCCGCAUUGAUUGAUAAUGAAGAAGAGUAACACGCUGUGAUGAGGCCAAGAAGCAUGGGCUGAAUGCAGGAAGGAACUAUGCCCCCUAGAACCUUUGGAGCAAAGAGACGCCGCCGUCGACAGAUGCAGGAGGCACAACCUUUGAAGUAAAACAAGGGUGCUGAAACUGAUGGUGCGAGGCACAACGUGCGAACAAAAAGGACUAUAAAAAGGCAAUCUUGCCACAAAAGGGACGAGCAGAACACCAUCGAAGCAGAUCAUGAGCACGGAGAGAAGAAAAGGGUGUGGUAAACGAAAUCAAGGAAAAGGCACGUACACACACACAUACCACGAGCACGAGCAAGGCGAGAGCGCGAAGGGUUGCUUGCAGGGAGGGCGGCGGCGGCGGCGGCGGCGGCAGCUGCAACCCAGAAGAGAUCCAGCUGCUGCUGCUCCCCGUCCCACCGCUACGGCGCCAUCUCAGACCCUCCACCCCCAAAGCAAAUGCGGCAGCUCAGCGGCGGCAACGGGUCUCGGGAUCGGAGGCCGAGGGGCAGCGGGAG